CUGCAAAGAUAAUUACAUCGGCUGGUUUCCGCCCGGGUGCCUUGGGCGGGAACGAGAAAAUAGGGUACUGGCGUCCGGUUUAGCGUGCGACUGCGCGACUCCGGAAGCGAGAUCAAAACAGAUCGCUAAACAUGUAGAACUGCGCGACGAAGGCUUGCGGACGGGGGUUCAAAUCCCCCCAGCUCCACCA
RNAcentral lists this transfer-messenger RNA (190 nucleotides) under Sphingobacteriales bacterium. Its description in RNAcentral is "partial transfer-messenger RNA". It matches the Rfam family "transfer-messenger RNA", at positions 175 to 374 of the family's 374-position model. From Rfam's summary of the family: Bacterial tmRNA, also known as 10Sa RNA or SsrA, is named for its dual tRNA and mRNA-like properties. Its role is to liberate the mRNA from a stalled ribosome. To accomplish this part of the tmRNA is used as a reading frame that ends in a translation stop signal. Lineage: Bacteria; Pseudomonadati; Bacteroidota; Sphingobacteriia; Sphingobacteriales. The record is from RNAcentral.